This 253-nucleotide ribosomal RNA is filed under the name uncultured bacterium. Its description in RNAcentral is "partial 16S ribosomal RNA". It matches the Rfam family "Bacterial small subunit ribosomal RNA", at positions 524 to 776 of the family's 1533-position model. The record is from RNAcentral.
UACGUAGGGGGCGAGCGUUGUCCGAAGUUACUGGGCGUAAAGCGUGCGCAGGCGGUGAUGUAAGACCGAUGUGAAAUCCCCGGGCUUAACCUGGGAACUGCAUUGGUGACUGCAUUGCUGGAGUAUGGCAGAGGGGGGUGGAAUUCCACGUGUAGCAGUGAAAUGCGUAGAGAUGUGGAGGAACACCGAUGGCGAAGGCAGCCCCCUGGGCCAAUACUGACGCUCAUGCACGAAAGCGUGGGGAGCAAACAGG